RNAcentral lists this ribosomal RNA (253 nucleotides) under uncultured bacterium. RNAcentral describes it as "partial 16S ribosomal RNA". It matches the Rfam family "Bacterial small subunit ribosomal RNA", at positions 524 to 776 of the family's 1533-position model. The record is from RNAcentral.
UACGUAGGGGGCGAGCGUUGUCCGGAUUUAUUGGGCGUAAAGAGCGUGUAGGCGGCUAGAUAGGUCCGUUGUGAAAACUCGAGGCUCAACCUCGAGACGUCGAUGGAAACCAUCUGGCUAGAGUCCGGAAGAGGAGAGUGGAAUUCCUGGUGUAGCGGUGAAAUGCGCAGAUAUCAGGAGGAACACCCGUGGCGAAAGCGGCUCUCUGGGACGGUACUGACGCUGAGACGCGAAAGCGUGGGGAGCAAACAGG